GGGCUCACACAAGCGGUGGAGCAUGUGGCUCAAUUCGAAGCAACGCGAAGAACCUUACCUGGGUUUGACAUGCUGGGAUUAGUUUCCCGAAAGGGAAAUGACGCGGCUUGCCGUGGAACCAGCACAGGUGCUGCAUGGCUGUCGUCAGCUCGUGUCGUGAGAUGUCGGGUUAAGUCCCCUAACGAGCGAAACCCCUGUCGCUAGUUGCCAGCGGGUCAUGCCGGGAACUCUAGCGAGACUGCCGGUGUUAAACCGGAGGAAGGCGGGGAUGACGUCAAGUCAUCAUGGCCUUUAUGCCCAGGGUUGCACACGUGCUACAAUGGGACGGUACAGAGCGACGCCAAACCGCAAGGUGGAGCAAAUCGCAGAAAACGUCCCCCAGUUCAGAUUGAAGGCUGCAAUUCGCCUUCAUGAAGUUGGAAUCGCUAGUAAUCGCGGAUCAGCUACGCCGCGGUGAAUGUGUUCCUGAGCCUU
This 474-nucleotide ribosomal RNA is filed under the name uncultured bacterium. RNAcentral describes it as "bacterial SSU rRNA". It matches the Rfam family "Bacterial small subunit ribosomal RNA", at positions 917 to 1382 of the family's 1533-position model. The record is from RNAcentral.